Long non-coding RNA from Grus americana (Whooping crane), 439 nucleotides. RefSeq lists it as uncharacterized. The record is from RefSeq and is a predicted model, not a curated record. The transcript is spliced from 3 exons. Lineage: Eukaryota; Metazoa; Chordata; Aves; Gruiformes; Gruidae.
CUCCGGGCGGCUUGCUGGGUAGGGACGCCCGCGUCCCGGCCUUCGCUGCCCGGCUGAGGCGGGCUUGGGCUGCUACGCGGGCAGGAGGAGAGGCGGGCGUACAGGGCGGUGUCAUUUUCAAGCAAAAAUAAAGCCCCGACCAUAAUGCUAUUCCCAGAAGGAAUCCACAUGAAACUCUACUGCAAAUUUUGAUACUGAAGAGCCACUUGUCUGCAGCUUGGUCUGAAAAUGGCAUCCAGGAAGUGGAAAGGACAAUACUGUAAAGUACCCUUGCAGCAGCAAGGUACUUCCCUGGCUACCACUGCACUGAGCAACAAAUUUAAGCUUCCAGCUUCAAGGUCCUAUAUACUUCAGUCCUGAUGACAUUUAUGAAAUGGAGGUUUUCAGAGCAUCAGCCUGAAUCUGAUUUCAACCCCUACAGUUAUUAAAAUAGCAAGGA